RNAcentral lists this ribosomal RNA (253 nucleotides) under uncultured bacterium. RNAcentral describes it as "partial 16S ribosomal RNA". It matches the Rfam family "Bacterial small subunit ribosomal RNA", at positions 524 to 776 of the family's 1533-position model. The record is from RNAcentral.
UACGUAGGUGGCAAGCGUUAUCCGGAUUUAUUGGGCGUAAAGGGAACGCAGGCGGUCUUUUAAGUCUGAGGUGAAAGCCUUCGGCUUAACCGGAGUAGUGCAUUGGAAACUGGGAGACUUGAGUGCAGAAGAGGAGAGUGGAACUCCAUGUGUAGCGGUGAAAUGCGUAGAUAUAUGGAAGAACACCAGUGGCGAAAGCGGCUCUCUGGUCUGUAACUGACGCUGAGGUUCGAAAGCGUGGGUAGCAAACAGG